This is an RNA transcript of Manihot esculenta (cassava), 3441 nucleotides long. It is a transcript of the gene named lysine-specific demethylase JMJ25, with no coding region annotated. The record is from RefSeq and is a predicted model, not a curated record. NCBI's taxonomy places the organism in Eukaryota, Viridiplantae, Streptophyta, Magnoliopsida, Malpighiales, Euphorbiaceae. The transcript has 14 exons.
UAACUGCUAUCCAACUCUGUUUCCCCUAUAUGUUGAGGAUGGCGGCAGUGAUUGGUAAGCAAGAACGGUUCAACCGCGAUAAUGAUCAGAAUAUCAGGAGAAUGGAAAAAGCCCGCAAUAUUUCCUGGGUAUCACCCAAGAGACGUGUUCACAAAACCCAUAAACAAAGAAGUGUUGAGAAAAUAUGGAAACAAGAACACGAACAUCAUGAUGUUGAAUGGACACCGCCAACAAGAGCAAAAAAUUCAUCUAAGAAAGUGAAAUUGACGCCUGAAGUUGAAAACUUUAAGGGCAAUGGAAUUCCGAAGAAGCGGCGGAGUGCCUUAAAUAGGAGAAGUAGUCUUGUAAUUGUAGAUUCAGAGAGUGAUUCAGAAGAUGAAGUUUUAGAGGAAUUGUGUAUUAUAAAGAUGAAAGAGCGCAAAAGAGCUAGGAAUUCAAGUAGUGAGAUAAUCAAAAGAAACACCAAGGAUAUAACAGCGGAAAAUGUAGGUUUUGCAAAUGCUUCUUUGCACACUUCAUCCUCUUCAUUAACGUCUUCUUCUACCUUAUCUGAUUCAGCUAUGAAGAGUGAUGGCAGUAGCAACAGUAAAUGUGCAAAAACAAACUUGAAGCAGGCCAAAACAGAAGCUCGUCCAAAGUGUCAUCAGUGCAUGAAAAUUGAAAGAAAAAUUGUCGUCCCAUGCCAGAAGUGUAAAAGCAAAAUGUAUUGUGUCCAAUGUAUCAAGCAAUGGUAUCCAAAGUUGACAGAAGAAGAAGUUGCAGAACAAUGUCCCUGCUGCCGUAGAAAUUGCAACUGCAAUUUUUGUUUGCACUCCAGUGGUUUGAUUAAGACAUCAAAAAGGGACAUCACUGUCAGGCAAAAGGUUCAGCAUCUACACUAUUUGAUAAGGGCACUGCUUCCAUUUCUUGAACAACUCUGUGAAGAACAAACUAGAGAGAUACAGAUUGAGGCUAGCAUUCUAGGUUCCUCCCCUGAGAUAGCCGAGAAUUUCUGUAAUAAUGAUGAGCGUGUCUUUUGCAACCAUUGUGCAACUUCCAUUGUUGACCUCCACCGCAGCUGUCCAAAGUGUGCUUAUGAACUGUGUCUCAAUUGUUGUCAAGAAAUUCGUGCAGAAAGUUUGUCAAGUCGUGCUGAGAUUAAGUAUGAAUAUUUAAACCGAGGCUCUGAAUAUAUGCAUGGUGGAGAUCCACUGCCUUGUGUUUUUGAGAAUCCUGAAGAUCAAGGUGACCCACCACUUGUGAUGUGGAAUGCCAAUGACGAUGGAAGUAUUUAUUGUGCCCCAAAAGCAAUGGGCGGUUGUGGUGAUUGUAUAUUGGAACUAAAGCGUAUCCUUCCAAUGGGAUGGAUUUCAAAGUUGAAAAAGAAGGCAGGAGAUUUAGUAGGGCUUGGUACCGAAAGCACAAGUUUGAUUUGCAACCAUUCUGGAGUAGGGAGAAAUAUGUUGCGGAGAGCAGCUUCUAGAGAAGGAUCAAAGGACAAUUUCUUAUAUUGUCCUGCUAUGAGUGACGUUCAAGAGGAUGAAGAGCUCUUUCGCUUCCAAAAGCAUUGGGUUAAAGGCGAACCUGUUAUUGUUCGUGGUGCACUCGAGGCUACAACUCAUUUGAGCUGGGAACCAAUGGUCAUGUGGCGCGCAUUAUGCGAAAAUGUGGACCCAGAGACAAGUGCUAAGUUGUCUGAAGUGAAGGCCAUUGAUUGCCUGGCUGUUUGUGAGGUGGAAAUUAAUACUCGUAGUUUUUUCAAGGGCUAUACAGAAGGUAGAAGAUAUAAGAACUUUUGGCCUGAGAUGCUGAAGUUGAAGGAUUGGCCCCCAUCUGAUAAGUUCGAAGACCUUUUGCCGCGCCACUGUGAUGAGUUUAUCAGCGCAUUGCCUUUUCAAGAAUAUAGUGAUCCCAAGGCUGGUAUCCUUAACCUUGCUGUGAAAUUUCCACCUAGUCUACUCAAACCAGAUAUGGGUCCAAAAACUUAUAUUGCUUAUGGAACAAGAGAAGAGCUUGGUAGAGGGGACUCUGUAACCAAACUUCAUUGUGAUAUGUCAGAUGCGGUGAAUAUUUUGACGCACACUGCAGAGGUAGCUUUAAGUGAAGAGCAGCACACUGCCAUACAGCAGCUCCAAAGGAAACAUUUGGCACAGGAUGAGAAAGAGCGACUCGUGCAAGAAAGGCACCCCACUGAGCAACUCGGUGACUCUAGUGGUAGCCGGAAAGCUGUGGAUUUAUCAAAUAUUGCUGAGCUAGAAAGGCACCCCUCCAACGUUAGUGAAGAACUUGACAUUUUCCAUGAUCAGCUAAGUGGUGCUACACUCCCUUGUUUGCUCACUGAAGGUGAAACAGAUGAGACGUCUGGUGCAUUGUGGGAUAUUUUUAGGAGGGAAGAUGUUUUCAAGUUAGAAGAAUAUCUGAGAAAGCACUCCAUGGAAUUCAGGCACACUUUUUGUUCCCCAGUGCAACAGGUCGUCCAUCCUAUUCAUGACCAGUGCUUUUACUUAACAUCAGAGCAUAAAAAGAAGUUGAAGGAGGAAUUUGGAAUUGAACCUUGGACAUUUGAACAAAGAGUAGGAGAGGCCGUAUUUAUUCCUGCUGGUUGCCCGCACCAAGUUAGAAAUCUCAAGUCAUGUACAAAAGUGGCUGUAGAUUUUGUCUCCCCUGAAAAUGUGGAGGAGUGCCUUCGCUUAACCGAGGAGUUCAGACAGCUUCCAAAGAACCACAAGGCUAGAGAAGACAAACUUGAGAUCUCGAGUCUACUAUUACAUUUAAAUGGGCUAUCGAGCAGAGGAUAACGGGUCAUGGCUUCAUGAUUGGAUUGCAGAUAAAUCUCAUUUCAGGCUUGCCUUUUGCAUUCCCAAAAAUUGCUUCAACCUUUUUCAAGAUAGAAAUGUGGAAUCACCUUUUUAAGGGUUAUCAGGAGCUUAGGUCAAAACUGUUUAAUUUAAUUUAAGUCUAUUUAUCGUUUGAAAGAUCCAUUUUUGGAUAUUUCCCUUGAUGCUACUGUUAGGAUUGUCAUUGAGAGAGGUCUGGAGCUAGAACUGGAGUGAAGAAAAUUAUGCAUUUCAGCACACCGGUUAUUGAAAAUCUUGCACUUCAGUGAGAUGAUAAUGAAGAUGUUGGGGGUGCAUUUGUUAGCUGAUAGCUGGCAGAUCAAGAUCAAGAAAAUGAUAAUCUAUGCAAUUGAUGAAGCAGUUAAAGGUUUAAAAGAGCUAAUAUAACAUCAUUGAGUUGUUCAAGCUACUCCAAGGGGAAGCUAAAGAACAGAGGCCAAAUUGUUUUUUUUUUUUUUUUUUUUCCAAAUUUUAUAAUUUUGUUCUGACAUCAUUUUGCAAGCAAGCAUGCCACCCGAUGACAGCAUUUUUUAGAGUUAUCAGCAAUUAAAGAUCUUUAGAGGUGUACAUCAUCGACUCAAAAAUUUUGAUACAGGAGUGAUACUUCUAGAAAUAUGUUUACGAA